CCUACGGGAGGCAGCAGUGAGGAAUUUUGGACAAUGGGGGAAACCCUGAUCCAGCGACGCCGCGUGAAGGAUGAAGGUCUUCGGAUUGUAAACUUCUUUUAUUUGGGAAUUAAAUCGGAUGAUGUAAGCCACGGCUAACUUCGUGCCAGCAGCCGCGGUAAUACGAAGGUGGCAAGCGUUACUCGGAAUUACUAGGCGUAAAGGGCAGGUAGGUGGUUUGGUAAGUCUAUUGUGAAAGCUCCUGGCUUAACUGGGAGAGGCCAAUGGAUACUGCCGGACUUGAGUAUAGGAGAGGUUACUGGAAUUCCCGGUGUAGCGGUGAAAUGCGCAGAGAUCGGGAGGAACACCAAUGGCGAAAGCAGGUAACUGGACUAUACUGACACUCAGCUGCGAAAGCUAGGGGAGCAAACAGGAUUAGAUACCCUUGUAGUC
This 432-nucleotide ribosomal RNA is filed under the name uncultured bacterium. Its description in RNAcentral is "partial 16S ribosomal RNA". It matches the Rfam family "Bacterial small subunit ribosomal RNA", at positions 338 to 795 of the family's 1533-position model. The record is from RNAcentral.